GUUCUCUCCCUCCAUUCCUUAAGCCCACAGCCGCUUCUUUCCACUUUUAUCUUAGAGUUAGGAUAUGGCAUUAGGCACACUGAAUUUUAUAGCUAUGAUUAUUGUCCUUGAGUGUAAAAAUAUUAUCAUAGCUUUCUUUUUCCCAUAAAAUCAGACAAGGAUAUAUAUGAUAAUGCCUCCAGAUGUGUGCCUGUGCUCACAUACAACAGCACAUGUACAGCAACACACACACACACACACACACACACACACACACACACACACACACACAUACUGCACGUUGGGAUCCUUUAAAGAGUCAUCUGAUAUAUAACAUUCUGUUAAGCAGUGGUUUGAAGGCUUAAUGAAAUAAUCACUGACCUGAACUAAAUUUGUUUCCUUUAGUUGUACAUUACAAGUGGGAGAGCAGCAAAUUAAUCUCAGAACCUGAAUUCAAAUCUCCUAUGAGUAUGAGAUUUUAUUGCUACUAGGAGGUUAACUUAAUUCCAAUUUGUUCUUAAUGAUUGAUAGAAUAUUGAUUAUUGUAGGUCAUUUAUCUUUUCAAGGCUCAAAGGUCAAAAAAUAUAGAGGGACGUCUGGUAAAAUCUUACUGCUAUAUUCACAAAGGAGCCAAUACAGUUUUUAAAAAGAAAGGACUCUUGGUAAAUUUAAUCUUGAUUACUACACAAAUGAUAUGAUUUCAAUUUGUCUCUGAGAUAAGCUUUUGAUCUUUACCAAUGUCAUAUCAAUGCCUUUCAAAUGGUGAAACCAGUCUUUUAUGUAUUUAUUGGUUAGACAACUUAUAUGAAAAUUAUAAAACAGACUUUAAUGAAAUUCAGUUAGCUUACUUCAUCAAUAACAAAGACAGGAAAUGAAAUAAAAAGAAGCAAGUUAAUGAACUACAGAAAAUAUGAACUUAUAAAUCCUUUAUAACUACAUAUAAUCCUGAUUUAAUUUGAGGACUCAGAAUUCCAGGUAUUCUUAGAGAAAUCUGUGACUAAUGCAGCUUAAAAGGUCUCAAACUGACAUGGAACAAUUUUUCUCAGUGUUUCUCAUAUACUGCGAUGUGUCAAAUGCUGACACAGAUUAACAAUAAUUUAUAAAUUGACAUUGCAGCAACUUUUUUAACCUUACACUUGGGCAAAAAUGGAAACAAAAGCCUUUGGAGUCAAUACUAACCAAAUUUACUUUAUGAGCAGAAACCACAGGGCUUCUGUUUCACCUUUAAGCUGUUUGCCAGUUUAAGAAAUGCUAGCGUAAGGAUCAAUUUGUGAGAAAAGCAAGGAUCAAAGAGGUUAAAGUAGGAUAUUUCUUUAGCUUAUACUUUGUUUUGUUUUCAAUAUCACAUGGCAACUUUUUUUUUUUAAUGUUAAGUUUGGUGAUAGACUGGAAGAGGUAGAGAUGGGACAGUACGGGAAUGUAUGUGUAUUUGUUUCUAUAAUAGGGAUGUGGAAUUAGAACACAUAUUAUAAUGCAUGUUUUAGGAAUAAUUUAGACACAUUUUAGUAUGAAGCUACAAAUGUAUUCAUCCUCUGAAAUUCUAGAAGUUCCAUGCAGCCCUGUGUUUUACAUUGUUUUUGCCAAGUCAAUGAUGAUAAUUGUACCAAAAGGAAAUCAUGCAGAAGACAGAGAAAGAGCUAUUGAACCACAACUUUAUUUAUAAGUAUGAGAAGACUUCAAAUUUAAGACAAAGUUUUGGAUAAUUUUUUAAGGAUUAUGUGCAUCUUAGGAGUCCAAUCAGUAGUCGGUGAAGUGCUCUAUCUUCAUAAAUGCCCAUGACUCACCACCAGCCAUUAAAAUCAUGGCAGUUAUAGGAUCCCCAAAAGCCUCAGGGAUAAAUUAUACAUUGGCAUUGUGACAGACAGGCCUAAUAGGUCUUUCCCACCAGUAAUAAAUAUGUUCCUGCACUCUAUGCCAAGGUACAUUUUACUGACUUCCUUUGAUACCAUGGUGAAGCCUCAGUCUUAGUAGUAAAGGAUGUUUCCGUUUAAAGAUGCUUCACGGCAAGCAUUAAGCCACUGAGUUAACUGCUCAAGAAGUUCAUGGCAAUACCCUGUACAUCUUAGCAUGACAUUUAGAGACAAUAUGUAGGUGUGUUUAGUAAAGCAAUGCUUAAGCUCUUCCUAGAAGGCAAAUCUCCAGCCCAUUAGUUUUUCAUUACAGUGAAUGCUGGAAGGAAAAGGGCUUGUCAGCCACCCUCCUUGUGUUCCAGGGUUUGGGUGCCUCUCUCCAAUCUCACCCUUCCUAGGCUCAAUCUAAUCCUGUCUGGGUCAAACCACUCUGGCUUGGAUCUGACUUAGGAAAUUUGGUCUGCUCCCAGUACAGAGUUGAAAAACAUUUAAAUGCCACUUUCUACCUUUGGGUUUGAAGACAGUUAAAAUGGGACAUUGGCAGGGGGUGCUAAAUUAAUCUGAACCAAUUAAUCAGGAUAAAACAUGAUUCUUUAUUAGUUAUGGAAUCCAAACUACUGAGAAUUGAUAGAGUCAUCAUAUACUUAAUGCUCCUGAUUAUGAACUAGAUGUGGAAUCUAGUUUUGUUGUAUUUGGUAUGCCCUACCCAAGUUUAGAAAACACAUUAAGGCCUAAUCAAAAUUAGUGAAAUGUAAGCAGAUUUUGGCAGUAGGUCCCUAUUCAGUUACCUUUGCUUGUAAUAUUUCAUCAUCCACAUAUCAGUCACUAUCCUUAGCUAGUGCCCAGGUGCUCCAAAAAAUGCACAGUGGCUAUCAGCAUAAGCUGAUAGAGUUAAUUGUUUUAGAGUUAAUAGAAGAACACAAGCAACCGGUCAUUUGGCUCAAGAACUGAGAAACUUCUUUACAUUCAGACUUUCCUGACACUGCUUACAUUUAAGUAGCAAUUGUAAGGCAUCGCAGCUGGUUCGGCUCCUAGCAGUGACAACAAAGUUGUUAUUGUAUGCAAUUGGUGGCCUUCCUCCCACUGGCCAUGCCUCACCAUAGCGCAGCCAUGCUGUAUGGUGUCUGCACUGCUGUGUGCUGGUGGGGGCAAGCCCCAGAGAGGGAUGGGGGAAGGCAGGAGGCUUGGCACUUACAGGACUGAAUUUCCAGGUUUUCUGGGAAAUUUUCAGAGGUUGUUGAUGGCGUCUGUAUCUAAGCAGAGCAGGGGGUGUGUUCCCCAGUCCAGGUGUGCAGUUGCCAACCUUUGCCAACUAUGAUUAGACAUGGAUUCAUGCAUCUAGAUGUAGUCCAUCAUUUGCAUAUGUAAUUAAUUAUAAUAUGGUUAGUUCUUUCUGAUCUCCCUUUCCUAUAAAUUGAAUUACUCAGGGACUCUCAUAUGACACUAAAAUCUUUUUAAAAAGUACACAUGACAUUUUGAAGGAUAAGACUAACUGCUAUUUAUAGCACUCCAACUUCAAAUUCAGAGCCUUCUGCUGUGAUCAGACAGCAAGGAGUGCCUUCGUCUUUCAGCAAGCAGCCUCAGAAAGCUCGCAGCAACGGCUUCUCUCCUCAAUAGUCUUCAAUGCUCAAUGGUGAUCAUGAAAAUCACGACACCCCAAGUUAAAGACUUCUUCACUGGCACUCAGAAAGGAUGAUUCACUCAUGCAUUCGUUUAUUUAACUCACAUGUGUAUUGAGUACCAACCUACUGUGUGCCAAACCCUGUCUCAGAUGAUCUACAGGUAGCCAUCAAUGUCAUUCCUGGAGUUAUGGGUUGAAACGUGCCCCCCUCAAAUUUAUGUGCUGAAGUCCUAAUCCCCAGAACCUCAGAAUAUGACCUUACUUGGAAAUUCUGUUGUUGCAGAUGUAAUUAGUCAUGAUAAGGUCAUGCUAGAGUAGGGCAGACCCUUCGUUGAAUAUGACUGUGUCCUUACACAAAGGGGAAAUUUAUACACAGAUAGGGACUCGGAGAAUGCCAGUCGAAGAAGAAGACACAGAUCAGGGUGAUACUUCUACAAGCCAAGGAAAGCUGAAGACAGGCAGAAAAACCACUAGCAGCUUGGAAAAGGCGUGGACCAGAGUCUCCCUCCCAGUUCUCAGAAAGAGUCCACUCUGCCAAUACCUUGAUCUCAGACUUCCAGCCUCCAGAGCUGUGAGACAAUACAUGUCUGUUGUUUAGGCCACGCAGCUGAUGGUGCCUUGUUACAGCAGCCUAGGACACAAAUACAUCUGAGUGCCCAGUUUGGGUAGGGUGGGUGCUCUAAGGCUGAGGAUACGCAGUUGGGACCCCCUGCUGCCAGCAGCUCCUAUGGCACCCAGGGCACUCCCUAUGUGAGUAGAUUUCAAACUGAAUUCUGGCUCCUUCCAGGGGUUUAGAUCUUCCCACUGCUUGGCCCUAAAUGUCUGCAGGUGUGCUGAGGUGUUGAUCCUCUCAGCUUUCAAGAUACUUGGGAAAGACCCAGGUGGCUGGGGCCUCCAACUCCCUCCAUUUACUGAAAAUGCCAGAUACCAUUAUCAGUUUUUUCAGACAUGAUGGUAACAUGAUGAAUAAACCCUAGUCUAAGCAAACAAAAAUUAAAAAUCAAGCAUGACUGGGGCCGAUGUCUAUGGUCUUGCAAUUGUUGUAGUAGGCCAGAUUGUGGAAGGGGAGGAUUUAUCUGAGCUGGACUCUAAAUAGGGCAGCUUACUGAAAGGCUCUGGCAGGAACCAAGCAAAGGUUUCCACAUGGUCAAACUGGACUUUUGCAGUCUGGCUGCUGCCCAGUGUGUGGGAGGGGGACAGGAAAUCCAGCUCUUAACAGAAGGCCAAGCAGGCAAGUUGUCACAUUUGGUAGAAGCCAGAAGGGGUGGGAUGUUUCCUCCCCAGUAGUGAAGGGAGGGGCGGGUCCUGUCCAGGACUGAGGGAUCUGCUGCUCUCCUUGGUUCUCAGCUUACUCAAGCC
Molecule: long non-coding RNA, 4809 nt
Filed under: Homo sapiens (human)
Lineage: Eukaryota; Metazoa; Chordata; Mammalia; Primates; Hominidae
Description: HSALNT0374840
Source: RNAcentral